Non-coding RNA from Crotalus tigris (Tiger rattlesnake), 366 nucleotides. NCBI's taxonomy places the organism in Eukaryota, Metazoa, Chordata, Lepidosauria, Squamata, Viperidae. The record is from the annotation of a RefSeq genome assembly.
UUUGUCCUUUAUAUAUUUUUGAAUGCAGGUAUUUCAUCACAGAUUACACUUACUGAGUCUGGUGAUGGCCUUAAGAAGCCAGGAGAUACUCUACUGUUGACUUGUACAGUCUCUGGAUUUGCCAUCACAAGUUAUGGAGUGUCCUGGAUCCGUCAGACCCCUGGAAAGACAUUGGAAUGGAAUGGUGCUAUCUGGGCUGAUGAUGGUAAGUAUUAUAACAGUGCUCUCCAGAAUUGGAUCACAAUCACAAGGGAUACAUCCAAAAACCAGGUGUUCCUUCAAUUGACUGGUUUAAAGCCUGAGGACACCGGCACUUAUUACUGUGCAGGAUACACAGUGAAGAAAUGCUUUGCUCUAGCAGCCUAA